This is a long non-coding RNA of Pecten maximus, 1105 nucleotides long. RefSeq lists it as uncharacterized. The transcript is spliced from 3 exons. The record is from RefSeq and is a predicted model, not a curated record. Lineage: Eukaryota; Metazoa; Mollusca; Bivalvia; Pectinida; Pectinidae.
GUAAACUUUGACUACAUUUAUUACGAUACACCAAGUAAAAUGGAAUCUCUAAUGACGGGAAAUACAACAGAUCGGAUUAACAAUGCGCUGGCAACUCUGAGGAGUGAAAUGCUUGACCUCCGACAACAAGAUGUCCAGUUGAUGAAUCAGCUCAUUUGUAUCAACGAUAAUAUCAAGACACUGGCUAAACGGAGAACGAAUCCAGGGAGACCGAUGAAAAAGAAAAUUUCUUCGGUUAAAGGAAGACGGAAAUUCGUCAAUCUGAAUGAAUCCAUUCCAGAGGAGGAUUCUAAUUCUGCAGAUUCCGAUAGCGACGCCAGCAUUUCUAGUAACGACAAUGACUUGUAAUAGGAAAAUGGGAUAGAGGAACAGCAUUUCAAAUGAAUCUAUCAGAUUGAUUCUGCACUCUAGAUAGAGGAAUCACUACUGUCAUGUAGACAGAAACAAAAUGACCCCAACUUAAGAUUCCUACAAAUUCGCUCAAUCCUUAAUUCGAAGUCAGUGACGAUGUAAUGGUGUCUACGUUAUUUGAGCAUUGCACUUUUGGUUUUGUGUUGCUGAAAACAUGGACACACACAAGACAAAGAAACAUCACAGAAUCCUGUGUUUCCGAGACUAUCAAAACACUUUCUGGACUCAAACCAUUGUGUUCAUUGUGUAUCAGGUCUUCAUUUAAAAACUUUAUUCACAACCUCCAACAAUCGGUUAUAAAGGAAGAGAAGACUUUACUUUGAAUGAAUGCAAUUGGAUAGUGCAAAAGUGACGUUAGAAAUGUGCGCGGAAAGGAUUUGAUAUUGAUAUGAGGUAGCUAUAAUAGUGACUCCUGGUAUAUUGUACGCGGGUAUAGUGUCGGAAUGGCAAAAAGACAGUGUAUACAAAUCAAACACUUAACAAACUUUCACCCAAAUUUGCCAGACACUCAUCAUGUGUUCUUCGAAUGCGUGCAAUACAUCAACCAUUAAUGACGGUAUAAUGUGAUAUUAGUUUUCAUCUUGAUUAAAAACUGAUUUGAAAAUCAUCCUAUGUAUGGGUGAAAAUUCAAUGUGCAAUAGGACAUGUUGCAAUUCUUUUGAAAGGGUAAUGAUAAUAAAAUAUCAUACUAUUA